UACAUGCAAGUCGAGCGAAUGGAUUAAGAGCUUGCUCUUAUGAAGUUAGCGGCGGACGGGUGAGUAACACGUGGGUAACCUGCCCAUAAGACUGGGAUAACUCCGGGAAACCGGGGCUAAUACCGGAUAACAUUUUGAACCGCAUGGUUCGAAAUUGAAAGGCGGCUUCGGCUGUCACUUAUGGAUGGACCCGCGUCGCAUUAGCUAGUUGGUGAGGUAACGGCUCACCAAGGCAACGAUGCGUAGCCGACCUGAGAGGGUGAUCGGCCACACUGGGACUGAGACACGGCCCAGACUCCUACGGGAGGCAGCAGUAGGGAAUCUUCCGCAAUGGACGAAAGUCUGACGGAGCAACGCCGCGUGAGUGAUGAAGGCUUUCGGGUCGUAAAACUCUGUUGUUAGGGAAGAACAAGUGCUAGUUGAAUAAGCUGGCACCUUGACGGUACCUAACCAGAAAGCCACGGCUAACUACGUGCCAGCAGCCGCGGUAAUACGUAGGUGGCAAGCGUUAUCCGGAAUUAUUGGGCGUAAAGCGCGCGCAGGUGGUUUCUUAAGUCUGAUGUGAAAGCCCACGGCUCAACCGUGGAGGGUCAUUGGAAACUGGGAGACUUGAGUGCACAAGAGGAAAGUGGAAUUCCAUGUGUAUCGGUGAAAUGCGUACAGAUAUGGACGAGCAC
This 677-nucleotide ribosomal RNA is filed under the name Bacillus cereus. RNAcentral's name for it is "bacterial SSU rRNA". It matches the Rfam family "Bacterial small subunit ribosomal RNA", at positions 52 to 709 of the family's 1533-position model. Lineage: Bacteria; Bacillati; Bacillota; Bacilli; Caryophanales; Bacillaceae. The record is from RNAcentral.